RNAcentral lists this ribosomal RNA (268 nucleotides) under uncultured bacterium. RNAcentral describes it as "partial 16S ribosomal RNA". It matches the Rfam family "Bacterial small subunit ribosomal RNA", at positions 57 to 305 of the family's 1533-position model. The record is from RNAcentral.
GCAAGUCGAACGAGGAAUAGGGAGCUUGCUCCCUAUAACCGAGUGGCGGACGGGUGAGUAACACGUGACCAACCUAUCUUUAGGAGGGGGACAACCCGAGGAAACUUGGGCUAAUACCGCAUAAUGUCUGACCACCUCAUGGUGGACAGAUGAAAGGGGGCCUCUACUUGUAAGCUCUCACCUAUUGAGGGGGUCGCGGCGUAUCAGCUUGUUGGUGGGGUAACGGCCUACCAAGGCUACGACGCGUAGCGGGUCUGAGAGGACGACC